AACGCACCUUGCGCUCUUUGGUAUUCCAAAGAGCAUGCCUGUUUGAGUGUCAUUUAAUUAUCAAGCCUAUUAUUAAUUAUUAGGAUUGGACUUGGGAUUUGCUGGCUUUGAGUAGUCAGCUAUCCUUAAAUGCAUUAGUGAGUCAAGUCUUGACGUGCACGGCCUGUCUUUGGUGAUAAAUGAUCCAUUGGUCCGGGCUGGAAGCGUCAUUAGGAAGCUUGCUUUUAUUUUAUUAGCAUGAAAAGUGUUAAUUUAUUUGACAAUUUGACCUCAAAUCAGGUAGGACUACCCGCUGAACUUAA
RNAcentral lists this ribosomal RNA (302 nucleotides) under uncultured Octaviania. Its description in RNAcentral is "eukaryotic LSU rRNA". The stretch from base 1 to 52 matches the Rfam family "5.8S ribosomal RNA", at positions 103 to 154 of the family's 154-position model. Lineage: Eukaryota; Fungi; Basidiomycota; Agaricomycetes; Boletales; Boletaceae. The record is from RNAcentral.